RNAcentral lists this ribosomal RNA (467 nucleotides) under uncultured bacterium. Its description in RNAcentral is "bacterial SSU rRNA". It matches the Rfam family "Bacterial small subunit ribosomal RNA", at positions 355 to 825 of the family's 1533-position model. The record is from RNAcentral.
UAAGGAAUAUUGGUCAAUGCCCGGAAGGGUGAACCAGCCAUCCCGCGUGAAGGAUGAAGGGGCUCUGCCUUGUAAACUUCUUUUGAAUGGGACGAAAAAGUCUCACUUGUGAGGAACUGACGGUACCAUUAGAAUAAGCACCGGCUAACUCCGUGCCAGCAGCCGCGGUAAUACGGAGGGUGCAAGCGUUGUUCGGAAUUACUGGGCGUAAAGGGCUCGUAGGCGGCCAACUAAGUCAGACGUGAAAUCCCUCGGCUUAACCGGGGAACUGCGUCUGAUACUGGAUGGCUUGAGGUUGGGAGAGGGAUGCGGAAUUCCAGGUGUAGCGGUGAAAUGCGUAGAUAUCUGGAGGAACACCGGUGGCGAAGGCGACAUCCUGGACCAAUUCUGACGCUGAGGAGCGAAAGCCAGGGGAGCAAACGGGAUUAGAUACCCUCGUAGUCCCUGAGCGGGCUGGCAAGGCGCAU